RNAcentral lists this ribosomal RNA (497 nucleotides) under uncultured bacterium. RNAcentral describes it as "partial 16S ribosomal RNA". It matches the Rfam family "Bacterial small subunit ribosomal RNA", at positions 28 to 507 of the family's 1533-position model. The record is from RNAcentral.
GAUGAACGCUGGCGGCGUGCCUAAUACAUGCAAGUCGAGCGAACAGACGAGGAGCUUGCUCCUCUGACGUUAGCGGCGGACGGGUGAGUAACACGUGGAUAACCUACCUAUAAGACUGGGAUAACUUCGGGAAACCGGAGCUAAUACCGGAUAAUAUAUUGAACCGCAUGGUUCAAUAGUGAAAGACGGUUUUGCUGUCACUUAUAGAUGGAUCCGCGCCGCAUUAGCUAGUUGGUAAGGUAACGGCUUACCAAGGCAACGAUGCGUAGCCGACCUGAGAGGGUGAUCGGCCAAACUGGAACUGAGACACGGUCCAGACUCCUACGGAAGGCAACAGUAGGGAAGCUUCCGCAAUGGGCGAAAGCAUGACGGAGCAACGCCGCGUGAGUGAUGAAGGUCUUCGGAUCGUAAAACUCUGUUAUUAGGGAAGAACAAAUGUGUAAGUAACUAUGCACGACUUGACGGUACCUAAUCAGAAAGCCACGGCUAACUACGUG